Molecule: ribosomal RNA, 305 nt
Filed under: uncultured bacterium
Lineage: Bacteria
Description: partial 16S ribosomal RNA
Rfam family: Bacterial small subunit ribosomal RNA
Source: RNAcentral
ACAGCAGCCGCCACGGUAAUACGGAGGGAGCUAGCGUUGUUCGGAAUUACUGGGCGUAAAGCGCGCGUAGGCGGUUACUCAAGUCAGAGGUGAAAGCCCGGGGCUCAACCCCGGAACUGCCUUUGAAACUAGGUGACUAGAAUCUUGGAGAGGUCAGUGGAAUUCCGAGUGUAGAGGUGAAAUUCGUAGAUAUUCGGAAGAACACCAGUGGCGAAGGCGACUGACUGGACAAGUAUUGACGCUGAGGUGCGAAAGCGUGGGGAGCAAACAGGAUUAGAUACCCCAGUAGUCCCUGUCUCUUAUAC